RNAcentral lists this ribosomal RNA (504 nucleotides) under uncultured bacterium. RNAcentral's name for it is "bacterial SSU rRNA". It matches the Rfam family "Bacterial small subunit ribosomal RNA", at positions 21 to 507 of the family's 1533-position model. The record is from RNAcentral.
GGCUCAGAUUGAACGCUGGCGGCAUGCUUUACACAUGCAAGUCGAACGGUAACGCGGAGAGAAGCUUGCUUCUCUCCGGCGACGAGUGGCGAACGGGUGAGUAAUACAUCGGAACGUGUCCGCUCGUGGGGGGACAACCAGCCGAAAGGUUGGCUAAUACCGCAUGAGUUCUACGGAAGAAAGAGGGGGACCCGCAAGGGCCUCUCGCGAGCGGAGCGGCCGAUGACUGAUUAGCCGGUUGGUGAGGUAACGGCUCACCAAAGCAACGAUCAGUAGCUGGUCUGAGAGGACGACCAGCCACACUGGGACUGAGACACGGCCCAGACUCCUACGGGAGGCAGCAGUGGGGAAUUUUGGACAAUGGGCGCAAGCCUGAUCCAGCUAUUCCGCGUGUGGGAUGAAGGCCCUCGGGUUGUAAACCACUUUUGUAGAGAACGAAAAGACACCUUUUAAAAAAGGGUGUUGCUGACGGUACUCUAAGAAUAAGCACCGGCUAACUACGUG